CUACGCUGCAAAAUCAAACCGCAAGGCUACCGCGUUCCGAUGUCGAAACGCUUAGCCUCGCGGAAGCUACCGACGCCCGGUCACGCCCCUGAAAUUGCGCCAGAUAUCAUAAUAUAUAAACGCGACCACGCCGUAACCGAGCGGAGAGUAUCAUAACAGCGACCGAGCAUCGUCGCAUACCGUAAACCUUAUCGCGAGUGUUACGUGACAUCAACACAGCUGACUGUAAGCGCAAGAGAAAGAAAUAAAGACAACGAACAAGAAAGUAAGAAGCGUCUUCUUUUCUCUCAUACACCGAGCCAAACCUUCAUCCUUUGGGUCCUAACCCUUCAGGCAGAACGAUCCCAACUACUAACGGGAAAGAAUUCCCAAAACGAGCAAACGCUCACAACAAAUAUGAUUAAA
Long non-coding RNA from Monomorium pharaonis (pharaoh ant), 405 nucleotides. RefSeq lists it as uncharacterized. Lineage: Eukaryota; Metazoa; Arthropoda; Insecta; Hymenoptera; Formicidae. The transcript is spliced from 3 exons. The record is from RefSeq and is a predicted model, not a curated record.